Molecule: long non-coding RNA, 371 nt
Filed under: Populus trichocarpa (black cottonwood)
Lineage: Eukaryota; Viridiplantae; Streptophyta; Magnoliopsida; Malpighiales; Salicaceae
Description: long non-coding RNA (PTRI_LNC003087)
Source: RNAcentral
AUGUCUCUUGUCAUCAGUUCACUUUUUCUUGUUUUUAUUCACUUGUGUUCGUCCCUCUUCAAUGAUUAGAUUGCUUUCCCUGUAAGGCUAAGCCCAAAUGUGGUUCAAUUUCUAGCAAUUUAUGGUUGGAGAAGCAGAUCAGGUGAAGAAUAUCCGAUUAAUAGUCCUUUCUUGUCUUUCAGCUCAUAUGAUCUAGAGAAUUUCACCCUACAGCCUUGUGCAAUUUUUUGAUCUCAUGGCUUCUUCUUCUUCUUCAGAGGGGAAGGCACCCGUGUUGGUUUUACCAGCCACCUUCAUGCAGCUUUGGAACGGAAAAAACAUCCUUUUUUUUUUUUUAUGAUCAAAUGUAAGAAACGGAAAAAACAUCCAUC